ACCCGGUGGCGGCGAAUUCGGCAACAGCUAUUUAACUUGCGUAGGCAGUUACCCUUUGAUCCAGAAAUCCCACUUCGAAGAAUGUAUUACAGUGAUGAAAAGAAGUAAUGCAUAUACCCACGCCCAUUCUUGGCCGCAGGAUUUGUAAUAGCAAAGGACUGACUGGACGUAGUCCGAGAUUCUUUGGGAGUGGAGCCUCCUGGGAGAAAGUGGGGAGAUCCGAAAAUACAGAAGUUAGAAACAGUUUGUAACCGUUUAAGUCAUCCAGGAUUAGGGUGGCCCAUAACUUACUGCUGAGACUGAGCCACUUCUGAGAGUACCAGAAUGUUAACUGGAUGAGAAAGCAAGAAACAGGAGGAGCCACUAAAGGUCUGCCCACGGUAAUGGGGACAAUGGGCAACAGCAAAGUCACCUUCUGAACUUAAGGUACAUGGAGUGUGAAGAAUAAACGAUUUUUCCUUGAGAAAGCUGCAAUGGACAUGGUGUCCUCCAGGCAGAGUUAAAGUUCCAGGACAGAGGAGCGCACCAGGAAUAGCCUCAUGAUAUGGGAGUGGCAGUGAGAGUUUGGGAUGUGGGAGAGACAAGGGCUGAAUGAAUCACAGGCAGGGAAGAACACAAUAUCAUGAGAUGGUGGUGUGGGAGAAACUUCCCCUGCUGACUUCUUCUUUGUGGAGGGACCAGUGGAGCAGUCUUCCUGGAGUAUCUCUGAGGACCAUGGGUAGUGGCUAGACAGCGUGGGCUCUGGCACCGUGGAGGAACACAGUUAAAGUUUAAGCUGAGUUGGAUUUUAACUGUGUCUUACUACCUUACUCUUUCGGCAUGUUUCCUCCUAGCCAAAGAGCAUCUACCUUCUGACAAGGGACCUGUGUUGACCUGAAUUAAGAUUUCUGCUACUUUGGGGGUGGGGAGUGGGAAGGUAUUUUUUUUCUUUUGGUUUAGCACUUCAUAAAGUUUUGCCUGUUCAUUUUAUUUGGAUUGCCCUUAAUUGUCGGGAAUAUUUGCCUCUGAUUUAAAUACACAACUUUAAUGCCAUCUGCAAUGGACUGUGUUUUCCAAAGAAGGCCAUGACUGUAUCUCUCUUACCCAUCAAGAAGUGGAGUCCCUUUCUCUCUCUCCCCCUUGAAUGUGGGUGGACCCUGUGACUGCUUUGGCCAAUAGAAGACAGCAGAAGUGAUGGUGGACUUAGCACUUAUUGGCUGGCAGCAUCUCUUCCUGCCUCCUUUAGCCCUGAACACUCAUGAAGGAGGCUACUCCAUCAGAGAGAGAGACCACCUGAAGGAGCACUGAGGCAUCAGCCGUGAGGUGAAGAUGCCAUCUUGGACACCCAGCCCCAUCAAACCUUCAGAAGAUCCCAGCCCCAGUUCUUAUCCAAAUGCAGGUACACCAGAGAGCAUGGAGAACCACCCAGAUGCAUCAACCCACAGAUUCCUGAGAGAUCAUGAUAAAUAGCUGUAUCAAGCCUCUAAGUCCUGGUUUGUGCUCAAGGCUUCUUGGGGACCUCUGUGUCUCAUGUUUGUGUCGUAGUAAAGCUUUGUGCUUUGAGUUUUAAAAUAUAAACUGAU
This is a long non-coding RNA of Prionailurus viverrinus (fishing cat), 1562 nucleotides long. RefSeq lists it as uncharacterized. NCBI's taxonomy places the organism in Eukaryota, Metazoa, Chordata, Mammalia, Carnivora, Felidae. The record is from RefSeq and is a predicted model, not a curated record. The transcript is spliced from 3 exons.